GGAGGGAAGGAGCCCUGAAGUGUGUUUGCCCAGCUGCUGGGGCGCCUGGCUCCAGCCCUUGUUUGGAAAUGGCCCCGGGCAAAAGAAGAAAGACCAGAAUCUCCGCUUCUGAGCUGUGGAUGCCCAAGACAAAAGAACGCAAGCCCAUGACUGGUCUCAGAUGCAGAUGCCUAACAACAAACAGCCCCACCCACCCCCAGUUGAGGAGAGGAGGGGGCUGUGGCUACAGACAGACCUCAUGUGACUUCAAUCUGACACCUAUGGCCUGUGUGACCCUUGUUAGUGACUGUCUCCCUGUGCCUCAAUUUCCUUUCAAUAAGUAGGAUAAGUGCUAUUUGGCUGUGAGGUUGUUUGUGAAUUAACCUCAAAAUAUUUACAAUUACUUGAUCUCAGCUCUGCACAGAGGAGCUGCUCAAAUGAACAUCAUUUAUGUUUAUUUGCCUCCAAGAGAGAAGGCCCUGGGCCUGA
Molecule: long non-coding RNA, 468 nt
Filed under: Homo sapiens (human)
Lineage: Eukaryota; Metazoa; Chordata; Mammalia; Primates; Hominidae
Description: HSALNT0260130
Source: RNAcentral